RNAcentral lists this transfer RNA (76 nucleotides) under Candidatus Parcubacteria bacterium. RNAcentral's name for it is "tRNA-Thr". It matches the Rfam family "tRNA". From Rfam's summary of the family: Transfer RNA (tRNA) molecules are approximately 80 nucleotides in length. Their secondary structure includes four short double-helical elements and three loops (D, anti-codon, and T loops). The record is from RNAcentral. Lineage: Bacteria; Candidatus Parcubacteria.
GCCGCCCUAGCUCAGAUGGUAGAGCAACUCACUUGUAAUGAGUAGGUCCGGAGUUCGAGUCUCCGGGGCGGCUCCA